RNAcentral lists this ribosomal RNA (455 nucleotides) under uncultured bacterium. Its description in RNAcentral is "bacterial SSU rRNA". It matches the Rfam family "Bacterial small subunit ribosomal RNA", at positions 340 to 784 of the family's 1533-position model. The record is from RNAcentral.
UACGGGAGGCAGCAGUGGGGAAUAUUGCACAAUGGGCGAAAGCCUGAUGCAGCUAUGCCGCGUGUAUGAAGAAGGCCUUAGGGUUGUAAAGUACUUUCAUCGGGGAGGAAAAAACAAAACUAAUAAUUUUAUUUCUUGACGUUACCCGAAAAAGAAGCACCGGCUAACUCCGUGCCAGCAGCCGCGGUAAUACGGAGGGUGCUAGCGUUAAUCAGAAUUACUGGGCGUAAAGAGCACGUAGGUGGUUUUUUUAAGUCAGAUGUGAAAUCCCUGGGCUUAACCUGGAACUGCAUUUUGAAACUGAAAUACUAGAGUAUCGUAGAGGGAGGUAGAAUUCUAGGUGUAGCGGUGAAAUGCGUAGAUAUCUGGAGGAAUACCUGUGGCGAAAGCGGCCUCCUAAACGAAUACUGACACUGAGGGUGCGAAAGCGUGGGGAGCGAAACAGGGAUUAGAUA